UGGAGAUGCGGCCCUGUUGGAAU
RNAcentral lists this microRNA (23 nucleotides) under Taeniopygia guttata (zebra finch). RNAcentral's name for it is "tgu-miR-139-3p". Its record names the gene tgu-miR-139-3p. The record is from miRBase by way of RNAcentral. Lineage: Eukaryota; Metazoa; Chordata; Aves; Passeriformes; Estrildidae.